Molecule: ribosomal RNA, 492 nt
Filed under: uncultured bacterium
Lineage: Bacteria
Description: partial 16S ribosomal RNA
Rfam family: Bacterial small subunit ribosomal RNA
Source: RNAcentral
AGUGAACGCUGGCGGUAGGCCUAACACAUGCAAGUCGAACGGCAGCACAGUAAGAGCUUGCUCUUACGGGUGGCGAGUGGCGGACGGGUGAUGAAUACAUCGGAAUCUACUUUUUCGUGGGGGCUAACGUAGGGAAACUUACGCUAAUACCGCAUACGACCUACGGGUGAAAGCAGCGGAUCUUAGGACCUUGCGCGAUUGAAUGAGCCGAUGUCGGAUUAGCUAGUUGGCGGGGUAAAGGCCCACCAAGGCGACGAUCCGUAGCUGGUCUGAGAGGAUGAUCAGCCACACUGGAACUGAGACACGGUCCAGACUCCUACGGGAGGCAGCAGUGGGGAAUAUUGGACAAUGGGCGAAAGCCUGAUCCAGCCAUGCCGCGUGGGUGAAGAAGGUCUUCGGGUUGUAAAGCCCUUUUGUUGGGGAAGAAAAGCAGCAGGUUAAUACCCCGCUGUCCUGACGGUACCCAAAGAAUAAGCACCGGCUAACUUCGUG